GCAACGGGUUUGUUUUUGAAGCAAGUUACAGUUUGUUUUCUGACAAAGCUGCAUGAAGAAUCUUGAUCAGCCAAGCCAUGAUGAAGAAGGGGCAUUGCUGUAAGACUAUUCACACUGAUAAGGGCUGCAAUAUCAGAAACAUGCUGGUUUACAUCCUAUAGCCUUCAUGCAAGUACUCAUUUAAACCUAUCUGUACUGUUAUGAAACAAGUAGGUAAUAACAUAGUCAUAAGAAAAUUUGUGCCAACAUGGAUUAGCACCUUUAGAAUUAGAUUAGUACAAAUAGGUUUCAGACUCUCUUUCGUACAGUAGAAUAUGCAUGCAAUCUGUAGAAUUCAAUGAUGCUCUGCCUGCUUUGGUAGGAAUGCCUUUGAAAUGAUUAAUCUAUAGUCCAGAACAGAAUUUUACAUUUAAUAUUAGUUCAGUAGGUUGAUGUUAUGGUGGUUUAGUUUAUGCCCCUUGUCACUUUAUCAGAAAAAGGUGUAACAGUAAUUUGUGCCCACCACGGAUUUUGGUAUUUAAUUGUCAUUCAAAUACACUCUUGAAAGUCUA
Pogoniulus pusillus (Red-fronted tinkerbird) is the source of this 551-nucleotide long non-coding RNA. RefSeq lists it as uncharacterized. Lineage: Eukaryota; Metazoa; Chordata; Aves; Piciformes; Lybiidae. The transcript is spliced from 2 exons. The record is from RefSeq and is a predicted model, not a curated record.